RNAcentral lists this ribosomal RNA (1219 nucleotides) under metagenome. RNAcentral describes it as "bacterial LSU rRNA". It matches the Rfam family "Bacterial large subunit ribosomal RNA", at positions 1562 to 2800 of the family's 2925-position model. The record is from RNAcentral.
UACGGAAAGCUGCGGCAAGUACGGAAAAGCUGAGAGCAGGCUUCCAGGAAAAGCUUCUAGCACAACACGCAUCGGCCCGUACCGAAAAUGGACACACAUGGGCAAGGAGAGAAUCCCGAGGUGAGCGAGAGAACUAUAGCUAAGGAACUCUGCAAAAUGACCCCGUAACUUAGGGAGAAGGGGUGCUCCAGAAAUGGAGCCGCAGUAAAACGGCCCAAGCGACUGUUUACCAAAAACACAGCUCUCUGCGAAGGCGCAAGCCGAAGUAUAGGGGGUGACGCCUGCCCGGUGCUGGAAGGUCAAGGGGAGCUGUCAGCGCAAGCGAAGCAGCGAGCCGAAGCCCCAGUAAACGGCGGCCGUAACGAUAACGGUCCUAAGGUAGCGAAAUUCCUUGUCGGGCAAGUUCCGACCCGCACGAAAGGCGUAACGAUUUGGGCGCUGUCUCAGCUGUAGACUCGGUGAAGUCUUAGUACCUGUGAAGAUGCAGGUUGCCCGCGACUAGACGGAAAGACCCCAUGGAGCUUCACUGCAGGUUGACAUUGGGCUUGGAUGCAUGAUGUACAGGAUAGGUGGGAGGCUGUGAGCCGUGCGCGCCAGCGUACGGGGAGCCGCUGUUGGGAUACCACCCUUCAUGCAUCUAGGUCCUAACCGGAGGCAACGGGCCACGGGACAGUGUCAGUCGGGCAGUUUGACUGGGGCGUUCGCCUCCCAAAGAGUAACGGAGGCGCCCAAAGAUACCCUCAGCAUGGAUGGAAACCAUGCAUAGAGUGCAAAGGCAUAAGGGUGUCUGACUGCGAGACAUACAGGUCGAGCAGGGACGAAAGUCGGGCUUAGUGAUCCGGCGGAUCCGAAUGGAAGGGCCGUCGCUCAACGGAUAAAAGCUACCCUGGGGAUAACAGGCUGAUCUCCCCCAAGAGUUCACAUCGACGGGGAGGUUUGGCACCUCGAUGUCGGCUCAUCGCAUCCUGGAGCUGAAGUCGGUUCCAAGGGUUGGGCUGUUCGCCCAUUAAAGCGGUACGCGAGCUGGGUUCAGAACGUCGUGAGACAGUUCGGUCCCUAUCUGUCGUGGGCGCAGGAGGUUUGAGGAGAGCUGCCCCUAGUACGAGAGGACCGGGGUGGACGGACCGAUGGUGCACCAGUUGUCACGCCAGUGGCACAGCUGGGCAGCCAAGUCCGGACGGGAUAAGCGCUGAAGGCAUCUAAGCGUGAAGCCCCCUCC